RNAcentral lists this ribosomal RNA (489 nucleotides) under uncultured Streptomycetaceae bacterium. RNAcentral's name for it is "partial 16S ribosomal RNA". The record is from RNAcentral. Lineage: Bacteria; Bacillati; Actinomycetota; Actinomycetes; Kitasatosporales; Streptomycetaceae.
CACGUAGUUAGCCGGCGCUUCUUCUGCAGGUACCGUCACUUGCGCUUCUUCCCUACUGAAAGAGGUUUACAACCCGAAGGCCGUCAUCCCUCACGCGGCGUCGCUGCAUCAGGCUUGCGCCCAUUGUGCAAUAUUCCCCACUGCUGCCCUCCCGUAGGAGUCUGGGCCGUGUCUCAGUCCCAGUGUGGCCGGUCGCCCUCUCAGGCCGGCUACCCGUCGUCGCCUUGGUGAGCCGUUACCUCACCAACAAGCUGAUAGGCCGCGGGCUCAUCCUGCACCGCCGGAGCUUUCCACACAGAGGAGAUGCCUCCCUGUGUCGUAUCCGGUAUUAGACCCCGUUUCCAGGGCUUGUCCCAGAGUGCAGGGCAGAUUGCCCACGUGUUACUCACCCGUUCGCCACUAAUCCACCCCCGAAGGGGCUUCAUCGUUCGACUUGCAUGUGUUAAGCACGCCGCCAGCGUUCGUCCUCGUAGCCACGGAGUCAACUAC